RNAcentral lists this ribosomal RNA (744 nucleotides) under uncultured bacterium. RNAcentral's name for it is "bacterial SSU rRNA". It matches the Rfam family "Bacterial small subunit ribosomal RNA", at positions 33 to 773 of the family's 1533-position model. The record is from RNAcentral.
ACGCUGGCGGCAGGCCUAACACAUGCAAGUCGAGCGGUAGAGAGAAGCUUGCUUCUCUUGAGAGCGGCGGACGGGUGAGUAAUGCCUAGGAAUCUGCCUGGUAGUGGGGGAUAACGUUCGGAAACGGACGCUAAUACCGCAUACGUCCUACGGGAGAAAGCAGGGGACCUUCGGGCCUUGCGCUAUCAGAUGAGCCUAGGUCGGAUUAGCUAGUUGGUGAGGUAAUGGCUCACCAAGGCGACGAUCCGUAACUGGUCUGAGAGGAUGAUCAGUCACACCGGAACUGAGACACGGUCCAGACUCCUACGGGAGGCAGCAGUGGGGAAUAUUGGACAAUGGGCGAAAGCCUGAUCCAGCCAUGCCGCGUGUGUGAAGAAGGUCUUCGGAUUGUAAAGCACUUUAAGUUGGGAGGAAGGGCAGUUACCUAAUACGUGAUUGUUUUGACGUUACCGACAGAAUAAGCACCGGCUAACUCUGUGCCAGCAGCCGCGGUAUACAGAGGGUGCAAGCGUUAAUCGGAAUUACUGGGCGUAAAGCGCGCGUAGGUGGUUAGUUAAGUUGGAUGUGAAAUCCCCGGGCUCAACCUGGGAACUGCAUUCAAAACUGACUGACUAGAGUAUGGUAGAGGGUGGUGGAAUUUCCUGUGUAGCGGUGAAAUGCGUAGAUAUAGGAAGGAACACCAGUGGCGAAGGCGACCACCUGGACUAAUACUGACACUGAGGUGCGAAAGCGUGGGGAGCAAAC